This 149-nucleotide small RNA is filed under the name Rhizobium sp. EC-SD404. RNAcentral's name for it is "ar9". It matches the Rfam family "Alphaproteobacterial sRNA ar9". Lineage: Bacteria; Pseudomonadati; Pseudomonadota; Alphaproteobacteria; Hyphomicrobiales; Rhizobiaceae. The record is from RNAcentral.
ACAAACGAGGCAGAGAUCGAUGAAUUUCUGCCCAUUCGCGGUCAAGUCUUGGGAGGAUCAGGUCGCCGGCGCGUUAAAUCGCUGCCACCGAGAAAUCGGGUCGAUCACGCGGGACUUCAAAAAACAAGGCUUUGGCCUUGUUUUUUUUU